UUUAAGUGUAACUAUGAGUUUUCACGUUAAACUUUGAUCGUCCGUCUUAUUUAAAUUUUUUUUAUAAUUAGUAUUUGUUGUUAUGAGAUAAUAAAACAUGAAUAGUACUUUACUCGUGACUUAUGCUUUUAAUUAUUUUUUUUCAAAUAAGACGAACGAUCAAAGUUGGGCGCGGAAAACCAUGACUGCACUUAAA
This is a non-coding RNA of Oryza glumipatula, 196 nucleotides long. Lineage: Eukaryota; Viridiplantae; Streptophyta; Magnoliopsida; Poales; Poaceae. The record is from Rfam.